UUAUCGAGGCUAUUGCUUUGCGAUACCAUAUGUUGAAUGAUAUGCCACUUCAAAAGAAAGCUUACCUCGUUUCAUAUUGUAUUCUCUAAAACUCUAAAUACGUGUUUUUUUCGUCUUUCAUUAGAUGUGUGUUCUCAUUGAGUUUUUCUUAUGUUAUGUAAUGAUUAUUCAUUGAGAAAGUAAGUUAAUGUUGUCUUAAGGUUAGGGUUAGUCUAAAUUUCCAUGGUUGUGUACCAUUUAAGGAUUAAAAAUUUAUGUGGCUGUGU
Molecule: long non-coding RNA, 266 nt
Filed under: Durio zibethinus
Lineage: Eukaryota; Viridiplantae; Streptophyta; Magnoliopsida; Malvales; Malvaceae
Description: long non-coding RNA (DZIB_LNC001937)
Source: RNAcentral